CCUACGGGGGGCUGCAGUGGGGAAUUUUGGACAAUGGGCGAAAGCCUGAUCCAGCCAUUCCGCGUGAGUGAAGAAGGCCUUCGGGUUGUAAAGCUCUUUCGGCAGGAAAGAAAUCGUUGCCCCUAAUACGGGUAAUGGAUGACGGUACCUGAAGAAGAAGCACCGGCUAACUACGUGCCAGCAGCCGCGGUAAUACGUAGGGUGCGAGCGUUAAUCGGAAUUACUGGGCGUAAAGCGUGCGGUGGGGUGUGAAAUCCCCGGGCUUAACCUGGGAAUGGCGUUUGAAACUACAAGGCUAGAGUGUGGCAGAGGGGGGUAGAAUUCCACGUGUAGCAGUGAAAUGCGUAGAGAUGUGGAGGAAUACCGAUGGCGAAGGCAGCCCCCUGGGAUAACACUGACGCUCAUGCACGAAAGCGUGGGGAGCAAACAGGAUUAGAUACCCUAGUAGUC
RNAcentral lists this ribosomal RNA (450 nucleotides) under uncultured bacterium. RNAcentral's name for it is "partial 16S ribosomal RNA". It matches the Rfam family "Bacterial small subunit ribosomal RNA", at positions 338 to 795 of the family's 1533-position model. The record is from RNAcentral.